CCCAGCUGUCGAAAUGGCUAGAUCUUCAUCCUCAGCAGACUCUCCCUGGGACUCACGUCAUAGCAGAUUUGCAGCCUUACCUGUCCUUUGUUCACUGUUUUCCUAAGCAGAUGGAGUUUCAUGGCCAAUGAAUAAUGAAACCAUCGCUUUCCAAAGAACAGAACAUGAUGGUUGCUACCUCACUUAAGAAAAGACAAGGCCGAGACAAACUUGAGAGCUGAAUCCAUUCUCCAGUUCUAAGCCCCAUUAUUCUUGAGAGCUCUCAAGAGCCGCAUGUUGGGUUUGGCAUGUAUUUAUUUCUUUGACACAGAGCUCAUCUCGUCCGUGUGACAAUAGUGCUUUGUUCUCAUGAGCACUUCACCAACCAGCACACGCAUCAUUAGCACCCCUUGGUCCGUUCCGACUGAAGCCGGCUGUGAAGGCUCUUGCUUCCACAUCCAUAAUAAACUGUUAUGCUGGGGACCCGAAGGAGCAGCAAUUAGAUUUGAAAUCACAAAUCUUCACAAAUCACAAAUCUUGGUUAUGUUGCAACAAGGAAAAUGUUCCACCUCAGUUUGAAGAUCAGCUUCUUGUCAUAAAGGGAAUAACCGUGGUCACAAGGCAGCUCCCAAGGCCCCGGUUCAGCAGUCCAUCUCUGAUCAGCAAAGCAUUUAAGCACAUGUUCACUUGUGGGCUGAUAAUUAUAGCCCGUAGACUUUCCACAGUCAUGCUUUUCCGCCACUGGUUUACGGACCCCUAGACGCUCAUGAACUACUUCUAAGGGGGGCUGAAAGGCACUUCAGAAAAGCAAGCUUCUCACCAUGAGGCUUGUUUGCUACAGAGAAGGUCCAGACUCCUGCUGAGGGAAUGAAGAGACUGAGGACCACGGCCUGAGAGAUUAGGUCUGGCAGAGCCAGCACGUGGGCUUUACAAGCUGGGACACAUAAGAGGGCUGAGAUCCCAACACCUCCAGGUAUGUCUUCAUGGUACCUUGCAAACCAACCUGAACUUGUUUGGGAACAAACGUGGAAGGAUGCAGCCAGCUCCUUGCUGAACACAGAGCAGCAGUGGCUGAGUCCAAGCUAAGUCCAUGCUGAGGGAUGGGCAUUAGCAUGACAGCAAGUUUCUUGGCUGGGGCUUGAGUCCACUGGUUUGGAGCAAAAGCAGAAGAUGUUUACGUCUGCCUGCAAAACAGCACCUGCACUCCUCCUUUGAAUGAAAUGGGAAGCCUGCUGGUUCUCAUCUUCUCUGCCACCUGGACAGAAAUGUCAUGAGCUGCUCAUUUUUGCCUGGACAAAGCUGUAUUUGAUUGUUUUUUCACAAUGCUGAUCAUGAAAAGGUGCCUGAUUUCAGCCCUGAGGGCACUGUACCCACAUCUGCUCCCGCUGCCACCUCCCAUGCAACCCCAGCAAAAUAAAGAAGUCUGAGAAUGGAGGGGGGGCUGUCA
Molecule: long non-coding RNA, 1426 nt
Filed under: Anas platyrhynchos platyrhynchos (common mallard)
Lineage: Eukaryota; Metazoa; Chordata; Aves; Anseriformes; Anatidae
Description: lncRNA (ENSAPLG00000024794.1)
Source: RNAcentral